UUUCUUGUGUGACCGCGUACUUUUUGUAGAACGGGCCAACGAGUUACGUUAAGUAGCAAGGUUAAGCACUUAAGGUGUGGAGCCGUAGCGAAAGCGAGUUUUAACUGAGCGUUCAGUUACUUGACGUAGACCCGAAACCGGGCGACCUACCCAUGAGCAGGAUGAAGCGAAAGUAAAAUUUCGUGGAGGUCCGAACCCACGAGCGUUGAAAAGCUCGGGGAUGACUUGUGGGUAGCGGUGAAAUUCCAAUCGAGCCCGGAGAUAGCUGGUUCUCCCCGAAAUAGCUUUAGGGCUAGCCUCAAGGUGAGAGAUACGGAGGUAGAGCACUGAAUGUCCUAGGGGGUAUUGCACCUACCGAAGACUAUCAAACUCCGAAUGCCGUCAUCUUAUACUUGGGAGUCAGACUGUGGGUGAUAAGAUUCAUAGUCGAAAGGGCAACAGCCCAGAUCGUCAGCUAAGGUCCCUAAAUGUAAGUUAAGUGGUAAAGGAUGUGGGAUUGCACAGACAACCAGGAUGUUGGCUUAGAAGCAGCCACUCAUUCAAAGAGUGCGUAAUAGCUCACUGGUCGAGUGAUCCUGCGCCGAAGAUUUCCGGGGCUAAAACUUACUACCGAAGCUACGGCAUCAGUAAUGAUGGGUAGGGGAGCUUCCCAUACGGGUUGAAGCAUGACCGUAAGGACAUGUGGACAGUAUGGGAGUGAGAAUGUUGGCAUGAGUAGCGAGAUGUGGGUGAGAAUCCCACAGGCCGUAAACCCAAGGUUUCCAGGGGAAGGUUCGUCCGCCCUGGGUUAGUCGGGACCUAAGCUGAGGCCGAAAGGCGUAGGUGAUGGACAACAGGUUGAUAUUCCUGUACUACCGAUAACCGUUUGAGAGAAGGGAUGACACAGUAGGAUAAGCUAAGCACACUGUUGGUUAUGUGUGCCCAAGCAUUGAGGCAGUCAAAGUAGGCAAAUCCGCUUUGAUAAUGCUGGGAUGUGAUGGGGAGCGAAAUUUAGUAGCGAAGUAGCUGAUUUCACACUGUCAAGAAAAGUCUCUAUCGAGGUUAAAGGUACCCGUACCGCAAACCGACACAGGUGGGUGAGGAGAGUAUCCUAAGGCCAGCGAGAGAACUGUUGUUAAGGAACUCGGCAAAAUGACCCCGUAACUUAGGGAUAAGGGGUGCCACCAUCAGGUGGCCGCAGAGAAUAGGCCCAAGCGACUGUUUACCAAAAACAUAGGUUUCUGCUAAGUCGCAAGACGAUGUAUAGGAGCUGACGCCUGCCCGGUGCUGGAAGGUUAAGGGGAUCUGUUAGAGUAAUCGAAGCAGUGAACUUAAGCCCCAGUAAACGGCGGCCGUAACUAUAACGGUCCUAAGGUAGCGAAAUUCCUUGUCGGGUAAGUUCCGACCCGCACGAAAGGCGUAACGAUUUGGGCACUGUCUCAACAACAGACUCGGUGAAAUUGUAAUUCCGGUGAAGAUGCCGGAUACCUGCGACAGGACGGAAAGACCCCAUGGAGCUUUACUGUAGCUUGACAUUGGGUCUUGGUACUACAUGUACAGGAUAGGUGGGAGGCUUUGAAACCAGGACGCCAGUUUUGGCGGAGCCAUCCUUGGGAUACCACCCUUGUAGUACUGGGACUCUAACCAUAGGCCAUGAAUCUGGUCUUGGGACACUGUCAGGUGGGCAGUUUGACUGGGGCGGUCGCCUCCCAAAAGGUAACGGAGGCGCUCAAAGGUUCUCUCAGUACGGUCGGAAAUCGUACGUAGAGUGUAAAGGCAAAAGAGAGCUUGAUUGCAAGACAUACAGGUCGAGCAAGGAUGAA
RNAcentral lists this ribosomal RNA (1802 nucleotides) under Clostridioides difficile. RNAcentral's name for it is "bacterial LSU rRNA". It matches the Rfam family "Bacterial large subunit ribosomal RNA", at positions 585 to 2403 of the family's 2925-position model. The record is from RNAcentral. Lineage: Bacteria; Bacillati; Bacillota; Clostridia; Peptostreptococcales; Peptostreptococcaceae.